UCCUAUUAUUAGCCAACUUGUUGCAGCUGCUACCUCUCUUUACCCUGCUAUAUAAGCAUACACUCACCAAGAUUUCAACUUCCACAGCAAAUCAAUAACAUAUUCUCAUCAGAAAGCAGCGAUGGAAACCAAGUCAUCGAAAUCCAGCGUCCUCCUAUAUGUUCUUGUUCUUGCGCUGGUCUUGUCUCCAAUACUCCCAUGUCAAGCAGCUAGUGCGCAUCUAGGAGGUAAGCUAGUUGAUCUCUCAAUUUUCCCAUCUUCUAUGUUACGCUGUGUUUAGGCUUUCUUAUGGAGAGAAAAUUAUUAUUUUUUAUUAUUUUUUUAAUUGAGAGAAAAUAAUAUUUUGAUGGAAAGGUGGAGGCCCUGGAGGGCGUAAGCUGAUGGCACCGUCACCACCAGUUCGCAUGUGUCCACAGUGUGUGUGUUGCGCACCGGCUCCCCCUGGAUAUUGCUGCCCAUGUCGCUGUCCUGGUGGUCCCUAAAGAUUGUGAACUUUGCUAUCAA
RNAcentral lists this long non-coding RNA (504 nucleotides) under Brassica napus (rape). RNAcentral's name for it is "long non-coding RNA (BNAP_LNC002705)". The record is from RNAcentral. Lineage: Eukaryota; Viridiplantae; Streptophyta; Magnoliopsida; Brassicales; Brassicaceae.